GAGGGUAUAGCUCAAGUGGUAGAGCACAUGCUUAGCAUGCACAAGGUCUUGGGCUCAAUCCCCAGUACCUCCU
Camelus ferus (Wild Bactrian camel) is the source of this 73-nucleotide transfer RNA. It matches the Rfam family "tRNA". Rfam says of the family: Transfer RNA (tRNA) molecules are approximately 80 nucleotides in length. Their secondary structure includes four short double-helical elements and three loops (D, anti-codon, and T loops). Lineage: Eukaryota; Metazoa; Chordata; Mammalia; Artiodactyla; Camelidae. The record is from Rfam.